GGGGAUUUAGCUCAGUGAGUGGUAGAGCGCUUGCCUAGGAAGCGCAAGGCCCUGGGUUCGAUCCCCAGCUCCA
This 73-nucleotide transfer RNA is filed under the name Rattus norvegicus (Norway rat). It matches the Rfam family "tRNA". Rfam says of the family: Transfer RNA (tRNA) molecules are approximately 80 nucleotides in length. Their secondary structure includes four short double-helical elements and three loops (D, anti-codon, and T loops). Further hydrogen bonds mediate the characteristic L-shaped molecular structure. tRNAs have two regions of fundamental functional importance: the anti-codon, which is responsible for specific mRNA codon recognition, and the 3' end, to which the tRNAs corresponding amino acid is attached (by aminoacyl-tRNA synthetases). tRNAs cope with the degeneracy of the genetic code in two manners: having more than one tRNA (with a specific anti-codon) for a particular amino acid; and 'wobble' base-pairing, i.e. permitting non-standard base-pairing at the 3rd anti-codon position. The record is from Rfam by way of RNAcentral. Lineage: Eukaryota; Metazoa; Chordata; Mammalia; Rodentia; Muridae.